Molecule: long non-coding RNA, 1147 nt
Organism: Cyprinus carpio carpio
Lineage: Eukaryota; Metazoa; Chordata; Actinopteri; Cypriniformes; Cyprinidae
Source: Ensembl
GUGUAGAUAGAUUGAUUCCAGGUGGUUGUUGUUUUAGUUUUUUUGUUUUGAUACUGAGACAAAAAUUAAACGGAUCAAAAGUUUACAUAAACUUAAUUUUUUAUAAAAGGGUUAUCUGAAUGUUCCACAACUGUUUUUUGUUGAACCUCUCAAAACAAAAGCCAGAAUUAAAAUACUCUUUCCUCUUAUUUACCUAACACAAGUACUGUUUUUGCCCUUAUUGAUAAAACAGUACUAUUAUAUUGCAAACUAUGUAUAUUAUAUAUUUUUUUCAUUUAUUGGCAUGCUACAGUUAAAUUAUUCAGAUUACCUGUUUCUGGAUAGGAGUAUUCUAAAUGCUGAAAUUAGUUUGCUUUAACAUAAUAGAAAGUCUGAUGUGACAGGUUGGUUUAGAGCAGUCACAUGCCGCUUCCACAGUGUGCUGGAGGGGGAUCUUCUACUUGACCUGCCCAGUAGUGUUCAUCUCUUCUGCUGCCAUCAUGUUUUUAUUCCCCGCCUGCAAGCCCAGCUUGAUUUAAUCAGAGAUGGCUGGGACAAUCACCCACUUUCAAUUGAGAGAAAUCUCACUGCUAAUCAAAUGUGGCACAUGGGUCUGCAGCACAGCUCUGAAGAGUACAAUGAUGAGAUACAUAUUUAUGAAUUAUAGUUGAAAAAGCAUACAUUUGUGGCAGGAAAAAUAAUGAUUAUUUAGCUUACAGGAUUUGCACAUCCCUUUGAUUGACUGGGAAAGGAGUGGUCUUAAACCCUGUGAUCCCAACUGUGGUGUCCAUGUCCCUGAGACUGACUGCCCUUUGAGACCCGAUGACCUGGCUGUACUUACUGCUGAUGCAGACCCAGUGGGACACUCAACAUGCAUGGAAGUAGACAGAUAUUUAGCUGCACUGUACUAUAUGCACAGCAUUGGCUAUGUAUAGGGUUAUAUGUAUGAACUCUAAUUAUCCAUGCAAUCACAAACACACCUUAAAGUUUGUUUGUUUUGUUUUUUAAUCAAGUUUAUUGUAAAUAGAUGUGUUUCAACUGUUCAAACUCUAAACCAUUUUGAUAAAAGCUAACAUUUCUACAUCUGGAAACAAACAAUAAUUCAACAAUAUUUAGAAUUUUUUAAUUAAGUUACAAUUCAAUGGAAAACAUAAUUUUUUAAAAUAAC